AUUGAACGCUGGCGGCAUGCCUUACACAUGCAAGUCGAACGGCAGCGGGCCCUUCGGGGUGCCGGCGAGUGGCGAACGGGUGAGUAAUGCAUCGGAACGUACCCGGGAGAGGGGGAUAACCGGCCGAAAGGCUGGCUAAUACCGCAUGAACUCGGAAGAGCAAAGCGGGGGACCUUCGGGCCUCGCGCUCUCGGAGGGGCCGAUGUCCGAUUAGGCUAGUUGGUGGGGUAAAGGCCCACCAAGGCGACGAUCGGUAGCGGGUCUGAGAGGACGAUCCGCCACACUGGGACUGAGACACGGCCCAGACUCCUACGGGAGGCAGCAGUGGGGAAUCUUGGACAAUGGGCGCAAGCCUGAUCCAGCAAUGCCGCGUGGGUGAAGAAGGCCUUCGGGUUGUAAAGCCCUUUCGGCGGGGAAGAAAUGGGUCAGGCGAAUAGUCUGGCCGGAUGACGGUACCCGCAGAAGAAGCACCGGCUAACUACGUG
This 485-nucleotide ribosomal RNA is filed under the name uncultured bacterium. RNAcentral describes it as "partial 16S ribosomal RNA". It matches the Rfam family "Bacterial small subunit ribosomal RNA", at positions 28 to 507 of the family's 1533-position model. The record is from RNAcentral.